RNAcentral lists this ribosomal RNA (263 nucleotides) under uncultured bacterium. Its description in RNAcentral is "partial 16S ribosomal RNA". It matches the Rfam family "Bacterial small subunit ribosomal RNA", at positions 333 to 594 of the family's 1533-position model. The record is from RNAcentral.
CUACCUACGGGACGCAGCAGUGAGGAAUAUCGGUCAAUGGGCUUACGCCUGAACCAGCCAAGUCGCGUGAGGGAAGACUGCCCUAUGGGUUGUAAACCUCUUUUGUCAGGGAGCAACGCCGGCUACGUGUAGCCGGACUGAGAGUACCUUAAGAAAAAGCAUCGGCUAACUCCGUGCCAGCAGCUGCGGUAAUACGGAGGAUGCGGGCGUUAUCCGGAUUUAUUGGGUUUAAAGGGUGCGUAGGCGGAAUGCCAAGUCAGCGG